RNAcentral lists this ribosomal RNA (468 nucleotides) under uncultured bacterium. RNAcentral describes it as "partial 16S ribosomal RNA". It matches the Rfam family "Bacterial small subunit ribosomal RNA", at positions 28 to 507 of the family's 1533-position model. The record is from RNAcentral.
GACGAACGCUGGCGGCGUGCUUAACACAUGCAAGUCGAACGGAAAGGCCCUGCUUUUGUGGGGUGCUCGAGUGGCGAACGGGUGAGUAACACGUGAGUAACCUGCCCUUGACUUUGGGAUAACUUCAGGAAACUGGGGCUCAUACCGGAUAGGAGCUCCUGCUGCAUGGUGGGGGUUGGAAAGUUUCGGCGGUUGGGGCUGGAUUCGCGGCUUAUCAGCUUGUUGGGGGGGUAGUGGCUUACCAAGGCUUUGACGGGUAGCCCGCCUGGGAGGGUGACCGGGCACAUGAGGACUGAGGUACGGCCCAGACUCCUAUGGGAGGCAGUAGGGGGAAAUAUUGCACAAUGGGCGGAAGCCUGAUGCAGCAAUGCCGCGUGCGUGAUGACGGCCUUCGGGUUGUAAACCGCUUUCUCCUGUGACGAAGCGUGAGUGACGGUAAUGGGUAAAGAAGCACCGGCUAACUACGUG